This 508-nucleotide ribosomal RNA is filed under the name uncultured Glomus. RNAcentral describes it as "SSU rRNA". It matches the Rfam family "Eukaryotic small subunit ribosomal RNA", at positions 569 to 1078 of the family's 1831-position model. The record is from RNAcentral. Lineage: Eukaryota; Fungi; Glomeromycota; Glomeromycetes; Glomerales; Glomeraceae.
AGCAGCCGCGGUAAUUCCAGCUCCAAUAGCGUAUAUUAAAGUUGUUGCAGUUAAAAAGCUCGUAGUUGAAUUUCGGGAUCAGUACGCUGGUCAUGCCUUUGGUAUGCACUGGUGUCACUGGUUUCUCCCUUCUGAAGAUCCGUGAUGUCAUUAAUUUGGUGUCGCGGGGAAUCAGGACUGUUACUUUGAAAAAAUUAGAGUGUUUAAAGCAGGCUCACGCUUGAAUACAUUAGCAUGGAAUAAUGAAAUAGGACGUUUGACCCUAUUUUGUUGGUUUCUAGGAUCGACGUAAUGAUUAAUAGGGAUAGUUGGGGGCAUUAGUAUUCAAUUGUCAGAGGUGAAAUUCUUGGAUUUAUUGAAGACUAACUACUGCGAAAGCAUUUGCCAAGGAUGUUUUCAUUAAUCAAGAACGAAAGUUAGGGGAUCGAAGACGAUCAGAUACCGUCGUAGUCUUAACCAUAAACUAUGCCGACUAGGGAUCGGAUGAUGUUAAUUUUAUAAUGACUCU